Molecule: non-coding RNA, 521 nt
Organism: Equus caballus (horse)
Lineage: Eukaryota; Metazoa; Chordata; Mammalia; Perissodactyla; Equidae
Source: RefSeq, a predicted model, not a curated record
CCACAUAAAAUGGAGGAAGAUUGGCAACAGAUGUUAGCUGAGGGCCAAUCUUCCUCACAAAAAAAAAAAGAAAAGAAAAAGGAAAAUGGUAUAGGAUUUAUUGCUGAACACAGAGCCAUCCUGGAACCAUUCUAGAGUUCAGAAAAACUCUAAAUGUUUUCUACUGACCCCGGAUUAACAUCCCUUCCCUGCGUAGGAAGGGCAACAGCUCGGAUGACUGACAACAUGAGCCAAGCUGGGACCUGACCACACCAGAACAACAGGAGACAGCUAUAAAGAAGUGCACACCAAGGCAUUCAGAGCGUUACAUGUUUCACCAUCGUAACCAUGAAAAAUUACCAACAACCAGUAAUGGUGCUUCAAGGAACUAAAGUGGGAUUCAAAACUACACAGAAAAAUAAAAGGACAAAAAUGUUAUGUGCAUAGGGAAAACUGAAAGGAAAUACAACAAAAUGUCACUUAAAUGGUUGUGAGAAUGCUGAAUGCUUUUCUUUCUUUUUUCUUUUUUUUGGUGAGGAAGA